Molecule: ribosomal RNA, 700 nt
Filed under: Pantoea stewartii
Lineage: Bacteria; Pseudomonadati; Pseudomonadota; Gammaproteobacteria; Enterobacterales; Erwiniaceae
Description: bacterial SSU rRNA
Rfam family: Bacterial small subunit ribosomal RNA
Source: RNAcentral
GGCACUGCGCAGCCAAACAUGCAAGUUCGGAAGGUAGCACAGAAGGAAGCUUGGCUCCUCGGGUGACGAGUGGCGGACGGGUGAGUAAUGUCUGGGAAACUGCCCGAGGGAGGGGGAUAACUACUGGAAACGGUAGCUAAUACCGCAUAACGUCGCAAGACCAAAGUGGGGGACCUUCGGGCCUCACACCAUCGGAUGUGCCCAGAUGGGAUUAGCUUGUAGGCGGGGUAACGGCCCACCUAGGCGACGAUCCCUAGCUGGUCUGAGAGGAUGACCAGCCACACUGGAACUGAGACACGGUCCAGACUCCUACGGGAGGCAGCAGUGGGGAAUAUUGCACAAUGGGCGCAAGCCUGAUGCAGCCAUGCCGCGUGUAUGAAGAAGGCCUUCGGGUUGUAAAGUACUUUCAGCGGGGAGGAAGGUGUUGAGGUUAAUAACCUCAGCAAUUGACGUUACCCGCAGAAGAAGCACCGGCUAACUCCGUGCCAGCAGCCGCGGUAAUACGGAGGGUGCAAGCGUUAAUCGGAAUUACUGGGCGUAAAGCGCACGCAGGCGGUCUGUUAAGUCAGAUGUGAAAUCCCCGGGCUUAACCUGGGAACUGCAUUUGAAACUGGCAGGCUUGAGUCUCGUAGAGGGGGGUAGAAUUCCAGGUGUAGCGGUGAAAUGCGUAGAGAUCUGGAGGAAUACCGGUGGCGAAGGC